CUUCAACGAGCCGAGGAGGAGGGGGCGUUCACCGGGACGCUCCUGCCCGUAGGUGGCGAGGAGCGCCUGCGCCUC
RNAcentral lists this antisense RNA (75 nucleotides) under Streptomyces sp. TSRI0107. Its description in RNAcentral is "ASpks sRNA". It matches the Rfam family "ASpks TB sRNA". Lineage: Bacteria; Bacillati; Actinomycetota; Actinomycetes; Kitasatosporales; Streptomycetaceae. The record is from RNAcentral.